RNAcentral lists this unclassified non-coding RNA (300 nucleotides) under uncultured Helotiales. Its description in RNAcentral is "sequence contains 5.8S rRNA gene, ITS2". The stretch from base 1 to 90 matches the Rfam family "5.8S ribosomal RNA", at positions 58 to 154 of the family's 154-position model. The record is from RNAcentral. Lineage: Eukaryota; Fungi; Ascomycota; Leotiomycetes; Helotiales.
AGAUGUGUAUAAGGGCCGGGUGAGUCAUCGAAUCUUUGAACGCACAUUGCGCCCUGUGGCAUUCCGCAGGGCAUGCCUGUUCGAGCGUCAGUACAACACUCAAGCCUAGCUCUUGGUCUUGGGCCUCGCCGGAGACGGCGGGCCUUAAAAUCAGUGGCGGCGCCUCUCGGGCCCUAAGCGUAGUAAUACUCCUCGCUACAGGGACCUGGUGGACGCUGGCCAGCAACCCCCAACUUUCUAAGUUUGACCUCGGAUCAGGUAGGGAUACCCGCUGAACUUAAGCAUAUCAAUAAGCGGAGG